Molecule: long non-coding RNA, 856 nt
Organism: Ruditapes philippinarum (Manila clam)
Lineage: Eukaryota; Metazoa; Mollusca; Bivalvia; Venerida; Veneridae
Exons: 5
Source: RefSeq, a predicted model, not a curated record
UGUUAUGACCUGUAUUGAGAUAUGAGAAUGCAGAUAGUUGGAUUCACUCAUGAGGUUGCUUACUUGUAGUGGCAUAUGUCAAAAGAAGAUGUUUUUGAUCCAAAGAACAGAUUUCAUUACGGAUUGAGGUAAAAGUUUUAACGAAAAUUUACUUGCAACAAAUGAAUGUUAUCAAAUUAUUAUGAGAUUGAAGUAUAGUUUUCUACAAUUCACAAUAAAGGCUUUUGCAGUUAUUAAUUAUAAUUUAAACAUAAAUAUUUUGUCCUACAUAGUCACAAAUAGUUUAAUGUCCAAGAGUACGAGAUAAUUAGUUUUUGGACUUUGCUUUUUUAUUAUUCAGCUUCAAGGAUAAUCAAGGACUUGGCAGACACCGUGGAAGUUGAUCAAGACUGGUCACGAUUCUUUCGAGAGGACCGGCACUUAUUUACUCGCAAGAAGGUUUCGUGUUUGGGGCAGCUUUCUACACCUCUGUACCGGCAGAUUUGUAAGACUGGAAGUUGUUUCAUUGUUGAGAAAGAUGGAUAUGGUGUAUUGUUAGAAAAUAUUUUCCACUUAAAUCUUCCAGGAGCUGGAGAUGUGACUUCAUGGCAGAAACGAAUUAAUAACUGUGUUGACGGGAGGAAAAGAAACAACAGCCUGCGUACUUAUCUGGGCAUGGUCAAGGAAUUGGAUAUGAUGUGUCAGUAAAGAUUUCCCGAGAUUAAAGAGAGCACAACAGGAAUUCACGGGUGAUACUGCUUGCUAAUUUGAGCAUUAAAGAAUAUCCACACAAACGAUAGCAAGAAUCAAACUAUGCAGGACUGAUUCUUCAUGGCGGAAGAAAAAUAUAAUCGAUGUUAAACAUUUUAUUCCGGAA